RNAcentral lists this ribosomal RNA (254 nucleotides) under uncultured bacterium. RNAcentral's name for it is "partial 16S ribosomal RNA". It matches the Rfam family "Bacterial small subunit ribosomal RNA", at positions 524 to 776 of the family's 1533-position model. The record is from RNAcentral.
UACAGAGGUGCCAAGCGUUAGGCGGAAUCACUGGGCUUAAAGCGCGUGUAGGUGGGUCGUUAAGUGUCCGCGUGAAAUCCCACGGCUCAACCGUGGAACUGCUGGGCAUACUGCGGGUCUUGGGCCAACUAGGGGCAGCCGGAACAAGCGGUGGAGCGGUGAAAUGCGUAGAUAUCGCUUGGAACGCCGAAGGUGAAAACAGGCUGCUGGGGUUGCGCCGACGCUGAGACACGAAAGCCAGGGGAGCAAACGGG